GCCAAGAUAGUUCAAUUGGUUAGAACAUUAAUUUCAUGCGUUAAUAAUGAGAAUUCAAUUUCUCUCUUGGUA
This is a transfer RNA of 72 nucleotides. It matches the Rfam family "tRNA". From Rfam's summary of the family: Transfer RNA (tRNA) molecules are approximately 80 nucleotides in length. Their secondary structure includes four short double-helical elements and three loops (D, anti-codon, and T loops).